UAUGGUCCUGUCACAAAGCAGUCCACGCAACAUGGUGGCGGUGUUUUUGUAGUGUAAAGAAUAGUCCUUUUCGCAAAAGAGAAAUAAUUAUUUUUGGGGAAAUUAUGGCGGCCCAACGUGCACUGCCGCAAAGCAAAGAAGCUCUGUUGAAAUCGUACAUGACAAGACUGAAGGAUGAUGUGAAAUCGAUGCUAGAAAAUUUUGAAGAGAUUAUAAAACUAGCCAAAGGAGAAAGCGAUUCACAAUUAUCGCGGAUGACACAAUGCGAGCAGGACACGUACGAAAUGCAUGUGCGAGCGGCCAAUAUUGUACGUGCCGGUGAAUCUCUAAUGAAGCUUGUCUCUGAUAUAAAACAGUAUCUAAUACUUAACGAUUUCCCAUCUGUAAACGAAGCCAUAGGACAAAACAGUAAACUGUUCAGGACAAAACAGGCAGAAUGCGAUCAGAAAUUGGCAUCUUUGAGAGACGAUAUGGCUGCUGAUCUGUAUGAUUUAGAAGAGGAAUACUACACAUCGAUAUAUAAAUAACAUAAACUUUGCUAUAGACGCACAACCGUGUGCUCUUUCCUCGGACCAUACCGUGACUGCAAUUUGGGUGCUUGACGAGACGAUUAAUUCGGGCGUAAUUGUUUCAUUUUAUUACUUGAAUACCUUGUAACACACAGACGAUACAUCACACAAUACUUCUAACUGGUAAGUAUACUCAAUAAGGU
RNA transcript from Nomia melanderi (Alkali bee), 712 nucleotides. It is a transcript of the gene named mediator of RNA polymerase II transcription subunit 22, with no coding region annotated. Lineage: Eukaryota; Metazoa; Arthropoda; Insecta; Hymenoptera; Halictidae. The record is from RefSeq and is a predicted model, not a curated record.